GAUGAACGCUGGCGGCGUGCCUAAUACAUGCAAGUCGAGCGAACAGACGAGGAGCUUGCUCCUCUGACGUUAGCGGCGGACGGGUGAGUAACACGUGGAUAACCUACCUAUAAGACUGGGAUAACUUCGGGAAACCGGAGCUAAUACCGGAUAAUAUAUUGAACCGCAUGGUUCAAUAGUGAAAGACGGUUUUGCUGUCACUUAUAGCUGGAUCCGCGCCGCAUUAGCUAGUUGGUAAGGUAACGGCUUACCAAGGCAACGAUGCGUAGCCGACCUGAGAGGGUGAUCGGCCACACUGGAACUGAGACACGGUCCAGACUCCUACGGGAGGCAGCAGUAGGGAAUCUUCCGCAAUGGGCGAAAGCCUGACGGAGCAACGCCGCGUGAGUGAUGAAGGUCUUCGGAUCGUAAAACUCUGUUAUUAGGGAAGAACAAAUGUGUAAGUAACUAUGCACGUCUUGACGGAACCUAUCAGAAAGCCACGGCUAACUACGUG
Molecule: ribosomal RNA, 496 nt
Filed under: uncultured bacterium
Lineage: Bacteria
Description: partial 16S ribosomal RNA
Rfam family: Bacterial small subunit ribosomal RNA
Source: RNAcentral